AGAGGGUGCAAGCGUUAAUCGGAAUUACUGGGCGUAAAGGGUGCGUAGGUGGUUUGUUAAGUCAGGCGUGAAAUCCUCGGGCUCAACCUGGGAACUGCGCUUGAUACUGACAGACUCGAGUGUGGUAGAGGAUAGUGGAAUUCCCGGUGUAGCGGUGAAAUGCGUAGGUAUCGGGAGGAACAUCAGUGGCGAAGGCGGCUAUCUGGACUAACACUGACACUGAGGCACGAAAGCGUGGGUAGCAAACAGGAUUAGAUACCCUGGUAGUCCACGCCCUAAACGAUGGGUACUAGACGUCGGGAAGCUUGUCUUCUUGGUGUCGCAGCUAACGCAAUAAGUACCCCGCCUGGGGAGUACGGUCGCAAGAUUA
This 370-nucleotide ribosomal RNA is filed under the name uncultured bacterium. RNAcentral's name for it is "bacterial SSU rRNA". It matches the Rfam family "Bacterial small subunit ribosomal RNA", at positions 527 to 896 of the family's 1533-position model. The record is from RNAcentral.